RNAcentral lists this unclassified non-coding RNA (349 nucleotides) under soil metagenome. RNAcentral describes it as "partial contains 5.8S ribosomal RNA, internal transcribed spacer 2, and large subunit ribosomal RNA". The stretch from base 1 to 120 matches the Rfam family "5.8S ribosomal RNA", at positions 35 to 154 of the family's 154-position model. The record is from RNAcentral.
GAUGAAGAACGCAGCGAAAUGCGAUAAGUAAUGUGAAUUGCAGAAUUCAGUGAAUCAUCGAAUCUUUGAACGCACAUUGCGCCCGCCAGUAUUCUGGCGGGCAUGCCUGUCUGAGCGUCAUUUCAACCCUCAUGCCCCUAGGGCGUGGUGUUGGGGAUCGGCCAAAGCCCGCGAGGGACGGCCGGCCCCUAAAUCUAGUGGCGGACCCGUCGUGGCCUCCUCUGCGAAGUAGUGAUAUUCCGCAUCGGAGAGCGACGAGCCCCUGCCGUUAAACCCCCAACUUUCCAAGGUUGACCUCAGAUCAGGUAGGAAUACCCGCUGAACUUAAGCAUAUCAAUAAGCGGAGGGA